GAUGAACGCUGGCGGCGUGCCUAAUACAUGCAAGUCGAGCGGAGCGGCGGACGGGGGAGUAAUGCCUAGGAAUCUGCCUGGUAGUGGGGGAUAACGUCCGGAAACGGGCGCUAAUACCGAAUACUAUCAGAUGAGCCUAGGUCGGAUUAGCUAGUUGGUGGGGUAAAGGCCUCCCAAGGCGACGAUCCGUAACUGGUCUGAGAGGAUGAUCAGUCACACUGGAACGGGGACACGGUCCAGGCUCCUGCGGUAGGCAGCAGUGGGGAAUAUUGGACAAUGGGCUAGGUCCUGAUCCAGCCAUGCCGCGUGUGUGGAGAAGGUCUUCGGGUUGUAAAGCACUUUAAGUUGAGAGUCGUUACCAACAGACUAGGCACCGGCUAACUUCGUGCCAGCAGCCGCGGUAAUAC
This 407-nucleotide ribosomal RNA is filed under the name uncultured bacterium. RNAcentral describes it as "partial 16S ribosomal RNA". It matches the Rfam family "Bacterial small subunit ribosomal RNA", at positions 28 to 526 of the family's 1533-position model. The record is from RNAcentral.